GUGGAUGUGCUGCUGCCCAUAGAGGUGACAAAAGGCCCCACGUCUCACAUCCGCCUCCGCGCCACUGUGCUGGAAGCGUCGCUCGACCUCUCCAAGAACACGCUGCAGUUCUCUGACAUCCUGCUCGGGCAGUGCCAGGUUGAGACCAUCCGGCUCUACAACCGCUUCCAAGCACCCUGCAAAUGGUCCAUCGAGCCUGUUCUGAAGAACAAUCACCU
Vidua macroura (Pin-tailed whydah) is the source of this 218-nucleotide long non-coding RNA. RefSeq lists it as uncharacterized. The record is from RefSeq and is a predicted model, not a curated record. The transcript has 3 exons. NCBI's taxonomy places the organism in Eukaryota, Metazoa, Chordata, Aves, Passeriformes, Viduidae.